Molecule: ribosomal RNA, 253 nt
Filed under: uncultured bacterium
Lineage: Bacteria
Description: partial 16S ribosomal RNA
Rfam family: Bacterial small subunit ribosomal RNA
Source: RNAcentral
UACGGAGGGAGCUAGCGUUGUUCGGAAUUACUGGGCGUAAAGCGCACGUAGGCGGCUAUUCAAGUCAGAGGUGAAAGCCCGGGGCUCAACCCCGGAACUGCCUUUGAAACUAGGUAGCUAGAAUCUUGGAGAGGUCAGUGGAAUUCCGAGUGUAGAGGUGAAAUUCGUAGAUAUUCGGAAGAACACCAGUGGCGAAGGCGACUCGCUGGACAAGUAUUGACGCUGAGGUGCGAAAGCGUGGGGAGCAAACAGG